AGGACGAACGCUGGCGGCGCGCCUAAUGCAUGCAAGUCGAGCGACGCAUACCGGAGGGGUAACCCAUCGGUAUGACGGAGCGGCGAACGGGUGAGUAACACGUGAGCAACCUGCCCCACAGACCGGGAUAGCCCAGGGAAACUUGGAUUAAUACCGGAUAUUCUCGAGGAACCACAUGGCUCUUUGAGGAAAUGCCUUUGUGCUGUGGGAUGGGCUCGCGGCUUAUCAGCUAGUUGGUGGGUAACGGCCUACCAAGGCAUCGACGAGUAGCUGGUCUGAGAGGACGAUCAGCCACACUGGGACUGAGACACGGCCCAGACCUCGUAGGGAGCAGCAGCAGGGAUCUGCACAGUGGCGAAGCCUGACGCAGCGACGCCGCGU
This 381-nucleotide ribosomal RNA is filed under the name uncultured soil bacterium. RNAcentral's name for it is "bacterial SSU rRNA". It matches the Rfam family "Bacterial small subunit ribosomal RNA", at positions 26 to 402 of the family's 1533-position model. The record is from RNAcentral.